RNAcentral lists this long non-coding RNA (518 nucleotides) under Brassica napus (rape). RNAcentral's name for it is "long non-coding RNA (BNAP_LNC004310)". Lineage: Eukaryota; Viridiplantae; Streptophyta; Magnoliopsida; Brassicales; Brassicaceae. The record is from RNAcentral.
CUGAAAAUGAAAAAGGGGAAAUUGCCAAAAGUGAUUCAAAGGAAGUGUUUUUUGCCUAGUUUUUUUAAUGAGAAAUUGCCACAAUACCACAUUCAUAGUAACACUUUUCAUGUUGAUACCAACCACUUUUACCCUAACUUUUGAUGAAGGGUAAAAAAUAUUUAUACACCUAUGGUUAAAUAAUCUAGACUUAGGGUUUAGAGUUGAGGGGUGGCGUAGGGUUUUUGGAAUGUGAAAUUUAGGAUUCUAAUAAAAAUAUAAAUAAAUACUUAAAAAAAGUUUCAAACAUAAUUUUUGAUUUUCAAAAACAAAUUUUGAAAAACAAAUUCAAAAAAAAAUUUAUAAGAAAGUUCGAAUUUGAAAAAGUAUAAUUCGGAAACAUAAUUUUUUUAAUUAUUAUUUAUUUAAAUAAUUAUUUUUUAUAUAUAUAGAACACAAUAUAAGAGUCUUUUGUCACUUAAUAAAAAAUGUAUUUUUGAAAAUGUUCCUUUAGGGCAUCUCUAAUGGUGCUUCAAAAU